Molecule: ribosomal RNA, 251 nt
Filed under: uncultured bacterium
Lineage: Bacteria
Description: partial 16S ribosomal RNA
Rfam family: Bacterial small subunit ribosomal RNA
Source: RNAcentral
UACGUAGGGUGCAAGCGUUAAUCGGAAUUACUGGGCGUAAAGCGUGCGCAGGCGGUGAUGUAAGACAGUUGUGAAAUCCCCGGGCUCAACCUGGGAACUGCAUCUGUGACUGCAUUGCUGGAGUGCGGCAGAGGGGGAUGGAAUUCCGCGUGUAGCAGUGAAAUGCGUAGAUAUGCGGAGGAACACCGAUGGCGAAGGCAAUCCCCUGGGCCUGCACUGACGCUCAUGCACGAAAGCGUGGGGAGCAAACA